UUGCUAUGUAGGUUAGUUUCCAUUUUCAAGUAGUUUCAUUAAUUAUUUGAAUUUUUCUUUAUAUUAGACAUGUAAUGGAUGGAGGACCGCAGUUUUCGAUUUGAAUGAAUUUGAAGAAUUGAAAUUUGGUAUGAAAACCAUAGCUACUGUGUGCUGUUUUCCCUCUUCCUGACUUUCUGAGAUCUUCUCUUUCCCCUUUUAAUCUUCUUCUUCCUCCCAACCCUUUCUUAUUUCCUGCUGUUGAAUUUUCUGGUACUCUGUUUUCUGGGCGACAGUUGCAGCCCUAGUUUAGAGGAUCGAUCUCCCUAGAUACCCCCUCAGAUGAGCCUGAAACUUGGGGCGUGAGAACCUCUCUCCUAGGCGACCUGAACCCUAGAGUUUCAGCCUCAAAGGUCUUUCCAUUGGUGGGGAACAAGACCUGCAACCAAGCUGAACCCAAACCUGCUGCCUGAUCUGAGUUGCAGGUGCAACCGCUCCCCUUUGUGUGCUGUUUAGUGACACCUACCUGUUGGAUUCAAGAGAGCACUGGGUGCUCAGCCUACGCCUGAAGUUUCAUGGCCAUCCGACAAGAUUUGAAGGAGUUCUCUGCAUCGAAGCCUUGCUGGUCUACCGCCUUAGCCUGGUGUUCCAUCGAGAAGAAGAAGAAAGGUUCUCCUAUGGGUUUUAAAUAAACAAUUGCAGUUAUUGCAGUUAAGCCCUUGUUUCUAGUUAUAUUCUGUUAUUCCCCCUUCUCUUUGCAUGGGGGUCUCUGGUCCAGUUCCAGAGCCGAUGGUGAUCAUUGUGAUGACUUCAGCAGUACUUGCCAUUGCAGAAGUUGCUCAAUCCCAGAUUCUUUAAACAGCCAGACUUACUGCCUCACAAUGGUGUGAUUGGCUUUGCAGCCAUAUGGGGUCCAUUCCUAAGCUGCUUUUCUAGUUACUUCUGCUGGAAUUGUUCAGUUUCUCACAAUUUGUGAAGAUGGGAGAUAGUGUUUCCACUUGCAUCUGCAUUGUCUGUUCUAAAUUGCUGGCUGCUGCUCAGGAGCCUUGAGUGCGCUUCCUAUCAUGCUCUUGCAAUCACUCACCACUCAAAGAAGAAAAUGGUGAUUUUGAAGUUGAAACAAGAGUCUGAAAUUGUUGGUCGUAGCAUUGGCAAUUGGAAUAUAUCUUGCUGCCAAGUGCAUCCAUUACCAUCAUUUGACAUGGAUGUAAAAUUAGCUUCACUACCAUCUCUUAUAAUGGUAACACUUUUGAAUUGAAAAGCCCUUUUUAGGUUUUCGUUUGAUUUUGACUUGGAUCACAGGUUGAAACUAUGUUUUCAGUCUUUGUUUCUUGUGAAAUCCAGUGUCAGUUGUAAUUUUUGUAUAUACCAAUGGAUAACAUCACAGGCUCACUUCUUGAAACUUAAGAAUAUGUAAAUAGAGGGUGAAGAAGGCGUAUGGUCAUGUCAAAAUGCUUAUAAUCACUUUUCUCAUACACAUUUUUUUUUUUUUUUGGUAUGAACUUUUCUCACACAUUGAAUCAUAAUCAUGUUUGACAUGUAUUUAUAUUUGCAAAUUGAUCAUGUUCUCUAAUACCCUAUGGCAACAGUUUUUCCACAUCGGCUCGCUUGGAGAGGUUUUCUAUGUGGGUGGAUCGGCCAUUUGUUGCAAUGUCUAAUGGUGAUGUAGAUUCUACCAGGAAAGUAAUAGCAUUAGAGCUCAAUAAUGUAGCAGCAAAAAAUGAUUAAAAUGUUGUCUAAAUAUUUGCAACCUGUGAUAUUCAUUUAUAUUUGAACAAAAAUUGGCAAAA
Long non-coding RNA from Macadamia integrifolia, 1769 nucleotides. RefSeq lists it as uncharacterized. The transcript is spliced from 2 exons. Lineage: Eukaryota; Viridiplantae; Streptophyta; Magnoliopsida; Proteales; Proteaceae. The record is from RefSeq and is a predicted model, not a curated record.